This 1150-nucleotide long non-coding RNA is filed under the name Apteryx haastii (Great spotted kiwi). RNAcentral describes it as "lncRNA (ENSAHAG00000002485.1)". The record is from RNAcentral. Lineage: Eukaryota; Metazoa; Chordata; Aves; Apterygiformes; Apterygidae.
UGCACAUGGAUGCACGAGCGUGCACACAGCAAUGCAGCUGCGUGUGCACAGGGCCGGUGCACGACCUCGCACACGCGUGUGCAAAUCCAGAACCCCGGGCUCAUCUCCCCCCCCGGCUCAGGCACACGCGUGUGCACACGGGCACCGCGCCGGCAGCACGGCCAGCUCCCCGCUCCGGCCCCCCCGGCACACUCCGGCCCCACGCCACCGGCCUUCCCGGCUGCGCUCCCUGCAGCACGGCGGGAGGCUGGGCCGACGCUCCGACACUCCGAGGUCAUGGGAGGCCGGGGCCGGCAGGACGCCUGGGCCCUUGGAAAGCGGCGGGUCGGAGCAGGAGGAGCCCUUCGGAGCCCCUCGGAGCCCCGUGCACGGGACCGGCUCCGGCGAUGCCUCCGCGCCCGCCCCUGCCUCAGUUUCCCCGGCAGCGGAGCAGCCGGCACCGGAGCGUGCUCCCGACACAGCAGUAUUCGCAAAGGGCCGUGGAGGGAGGCCACUGGAGCACGCGGAGCCGGGAUGAACGACCGGCUCCAUGGAUGUGCUCCCCACCCGGUCCCCGUCCCCGUCGGGCUCCAAGCGGGACCCCGGCGCCCGGGCAGCUCCCAACGUCCGUGGGAGCCCCAGGACCGCGACGCUCCCAGGGUGCCAGGGCACGGAGGUGUCCACGUGCCGGCGUCCGCGAGGACACGAGCGUCCCCGUCGGCGUGCCGAGCCGCCGGAGCAGCCAGAGCCGGCGCCGGGCUUGGUGCGGCACUGGGCACCGCGUCGUCCGGUCCCUGGGAUGGGACGGGAUGGGACAGGAUGGGAUGGGAUGGACGGGGACCGGGUCAUGCUCGCGUCCCCCGCAGAGCAGCCGUGUCCAUGGGAUGGGAUGGGAUGGGAUGGGACGGACGGGGACCGGGUCGUGCUCACAUCCCCCACGCAGCAGCCGUGUCCCCGGGAUGGGAUGGGAUGGGAUGGGACGGACGGGGACCGGGUCGUGCUCACGUCCCCCGCGGAGCAGCCGUGUCCCCGGGAUGGGAUGGGAUGGGAUGGGAUGGACGGGGACCGAGUCGUGCUCGCGUCCCCCGCGGAGCAGCCGUGUCCCCGCACCGGGUUGGCUCCACGUCCCCCUGCCNNNNNNNNNNNNNNNNNNNNNNNNNNNNNNNNNNNN